This 750-nucleotide long non-coding RNA is filed under the name Danio rerio (zebrafish). RNAcentral's name for it is "si:ch211-59d13.3 (ENSDARG00000097417.2)". The record is from RNAcentral. Lineage: Eukaryota; Metazoa; Chordata; Actinopteri; Cypriniformes; Danionidae.
GGAAGUUUUACAGAAUCCAGUCAGAUUGAAGAAAGACGCCAGAGCCGGAGUUUUGUACAUCCAUUUGCACAGUACUGUACAACAAGUUUCCUUUGCUGAGUUCCUUGGUCAGGGGUUAAACACAUUUUCUGUCCAGUACUGCAGUUGGAAUUUUCCAUCAACAUUUUUAUGACAACCGAUGUCCAUGUCAAAAGAACGUCUAUUCUUUAAGCUCUCUUUACUUACCUUUGUGAGGAUGAGGCAUGCCUGGUGAAAGAAUACAUGGGCAACCUAAAAGAAGAAUUUUUGAAGGACCUGACAAACACCACCAUGGCCAUAUGUGUCAUCAAAAAGUAAAGAGGAGAUUAUGAGGACAUUGGCAUCGUUGUGGAUGGAACAGUGAUUAUUGAACAGAUAAAAUCUGUUGCACAAGCCUGUGCACUGAUGUUGGGGGCAAUUUAUGUGCUUGAUUUGGCCUACCCAAAAGAACUCAAAUACUAUUUGGAGUUUGCCCAAAAAGUACUUGUGCAAAUGAACUCUGACAAGCUCUCCUCAAAGGUUCUCAUACUGGAAACCAGUGUGAUACUGUAAUUUUAAGCAUUGAAGUGUUGAUAAAUGCUCAACAACCAAAUGUAUAUCAUAUACAAAUUGCAGUUUAGUGUAGGAAUUGUUUAAUAAGUGAAUUCAGUUUUCUUUGUGUGCAAAAUUAAUUAGCUGUAGGAACGUGUGUGUGUGUGUGUGUGUGUGUGUGUGAGAGAGAGAGAGCAUGUG